UUAUCCGGAUUAUUGGGUUUAAAGGGUGCGUAGGCGGCAAGGUAAGUCAGCGGUGAAAGACCAGGGCUCAACUUUGGAAGUGCCGUUGAUACUGUCUGGCUAGAAUGAUUCCGCCGUGGGAGGAAUGAGUAGUGUAGCGGUGAAAUGCAUAGAUAUUACUCAGAACACCGAUUGCGAAGGCAUCUCACGAGGGGUUCAUUGACGCUGAGGCACGAAAGCGUGGGGAUCGAACAGGAUUAGAUACCCUGGUAGUCCACGCAGUAAACGAUGAUGGCUAACUGUCGGGCCUUCGGGUUCGGCGGCCAAGCGAAAGCGAUAAGCCAUCCACCUGGGGAGUACGACCGCAAGGUUGAAACUCAAAGGAAUUGACGGGGGCCCGCACAAGCGGAGGAACAUGUGGUUUAAUUCGAUGAUACGCGAGGAA
Molecule: ribosomal RNA, 424 nt
Filed under: uncultured bacterium
Lineage: Bacteria
Description: bacterial SSU rRNA
Rfam family: Bacterial small subunit ribosomal RNA
Source: RNAcentral